GGUGCUUUGUAUGUAUUAUAGAUAUUGUUUGUAAUUGUAUUCAAUGCGAAUAGAGUGAUAAAAUGCCCAAGGCUACAGCAGCCAGAUUUCAAGUCGUGGAUAGCUCGAGAUGAAGACGACAACAAUAAGGCGUAAUGCAGAAUUUGCAAAUAUUGCAACAUUUACGA
Drosophila arizonae is the source of this 167-nucleotide long non-coding RNA. The record is from RefSeq and is a predicted model, not a curated record. Lineage: Eukaryota; Metazoa; Arthropoda; Insecta; Diptera; Drosophilidae.